Molecule: ribosomal RNA, 473 nt
Filed under: uncultured Glomus
Lineage: Eukaryota; Fungi; Glomeromycota; Glomeromycetes; Glomerales; Glomeraceae
Description: SSU rRNA
Rfam family: Eukaryotic small subunit ribosomal RNA
Source: RNAcentral
AGCAGCCGCGGUAAUUCCAGCUCCAAUAGCGUAUAUUAAAGUUGUUGCAGUUAAAAAGCUCGUAGUUGAAUUUCGGGAUCAAUUAAUUGGUCGUGCCUCUGGUACGUACUGAUUUUAUUGGUUUCUCCCUUCUGACGAACCAUGAUGUCAUUAAUUUGGUGUCGUGGAGAAUCAGGACUGUUACUUUGAAAAAAUUAGAGUGUUUAAAGCAAGCUAACGCUUGAAUACAUUAGCAUGGAAUAAUGAAAUAGGACGUUUGAUCCUAUUUUGUUGGUUUCUAGGAUCGACGUAAUGAUUAAUAGGGAUAGUUGGGGGCAUUAGUAUUCAAUUGUCAGAGGUGAAAUUCUUGGAUUUAUUGAAGACUAACUACUGCGAAAGCAUUUGCCAAGGAUGUUUUCAUUAAUCAAGAACGAAAGUUAGGGGAUCGAAGACGAUCAGAUACCGUCGUAGUCUUAACCAUAAACUAUGCCGAC